This 495-nucleotide ribosomal RNA is filed under the name uncultured bacterium. RNAcentral describes it as "partial 16S ribosomal RNA". It matches the Rfam family "Bacterial small subunit ribosomal RNA", at positions 28 to 507 of the family's 1533-position model. The record is from RNAcentral.
GAUGAACGCUGGCGGCGUGCCUAAUACAUGCAAGUAGAACGCUGAAGGAGGAGCUUGCUCUUCUGGAUGAGUUGCGAACGGGUGAGUAACGCGUAGGUAACCUGCCUGGUAGCGGGGGAUAACUAUUGGAAACGAUAGCUAAUACCGCAUGACAACAGUUAUUGCAUGAUAACUGUUGAAAAGGGGCAACUGCUCCACUACCAGAUGGACCUGCGUUGUAUUAGCUAGUUGGUGAGGUAACGGCUCACCAAGGCGACGAUACAUCUUCGAACGGCGAGGGGGGGUAGCCAGCCUGGGAGUGAGACAGGGCCCAGUCUGCCACGGGAGGCAGCCGUAGGGCAACGUCGGCAAUGGACGGAAGAUUGACCGAGCAACGCGGCGGGAGGGAAGAAGGUUUUCGGAUCGUAAAGCACGGUUGUAAGAGAAGAACGAGUGUGAGCGUGGAAAGUUCACACUGUGACGGUAUCUGAUCAGAAAGGGACGGCUAACUACGUG